UACGUAGGGUGCAAGCGUUGUCCGGAAUUAUUGGGCGUAAAGAGCUCGUAGGCGGUCUGUCGCGUCUGCUGUGAAAACCUGCAGCUUAACUGUGGCGUACGGUCGAUACGGGCAUCACUGGAGUUCGGCAGGGGAGACUGGAAUUCCUGGUGUAGCGGUGAAAUGCGCAGAUAUCAGGAGGAACACCGGUGGCGAAGGCGGGUCUCUGGGCCGAUACUGACGCUGAGGAGCGAAAGCGUGGGGAGCGAACAGG
RNAcentral lists this ribosomal RNA (253 nucleotides) under uncultured bacterium. RNAcentral's name for it is "partial 16S ribosomal RNA". It matches the Rfam family "Bacterial small subunit ribosomal RNA", at positions 524 to 776 of the family's 1533-position model. The record is from RNAcentral.